This 483-nucleotide ribosomal RNA is filed under the name Escherichia coli. Its description in RNAcentral is "partial 23S ribosomal RNA". It matches the Rfam family "Bacterial large subunit ribosomal RNA", at positions 1 to 523 of the family's 2925-position model. Lineage: Bacteria; Pseudomonadati; Pseudomonadota; Gammaproteobacteria; Enterobacterales; Enterobacteriaceae. The record is from RNAcentral.
GGUUAAGCGACUAAGCGUACACGGUGGAUGCCCUGGCAGUCAGAGGCGAUGAAGGACGUGCUAAUCUGCGAUAAGCGUCGGUAAGGUGAUAUGAACCGUUAUAACCGGCGAUUUCCGAAUGGGGAAACCCAGUGUGAUUCGUCACACUAUCAUUAACUGAAUCCAUAGGUUAAUGAGGCGAACCGGGGGAACUGAAACAUCUAAGUACCCCGAGGAAAAGAAAUCAACCGAGAUUCCCCCAGUAGCGGCGAGCGAACGGGGAGCAGCCCAGAGCCUGAAUCAGUGUGUGUGUUAGUGGAAGCGUCUGGAAAGGCGUGCGAUACAGGGUGACAGCCCCGUACACAAAAAUGCACAUACUGUGAGCUCGAUGAGUAGGGCGGGACACGUGGUAUCCUGUCUGAAUAUGGGGGGACCAUCCUCCAAGGCUAAAUACUCCUGACUGACCGAUAGUGAACCAGUACCGUGAGGGAAAGGCGAAAAGAA